AUCCCUUCUUAGCCUUUUGGCUAAGCUCAACUGUAGUAUCUGUUCUUAUCAGUUUAUUAUUAUUUUUUAUUUUAAUACAUUUCACAACUUUUUAUGAAAUACGGUGAGAAAUCUGGAAACUUAG
This 124-nucleotide small nuclear RNA is filed under the name Erinaceus europaeus (western European hedgehog). RNAcentral's name for it is "U2 spliceosomal RNA". It matches the Rfam family "U2 spliceosomal RNA", at positions 1 to 132 of the family's 192-position model. From Rfam's summary of the family: U2 is a small nuclear RNA (snRNA) component of the spliceosome (involved in pre-mRNA splicing). Complementary binding between U2 snRNA (in an area lying towards the 5' end but 3' to hairpin I) and the branchpoint sequence (BPS) of the intron results the bulging out of an unpaired adenosine, on the BPS, which initiates a nucleophilic attack at the intronic 5' splice site, thus starting the first of two transesterification reactions that mediate splicing. The record is from Rfam by way of RNAcentral. Lineage: Eukaryota; Metazoa; Chordata; Mammalia; Eulipotyphla; Erinaceidae.